RNAcentral lists this ribosomal RNA (473 nucleotides) under uncultured bacterium. RNAcentral describes it as "partial 16S ribosomal RNA". It matches the Rfam family "Bacterial small subunit ribosomal RNA", at positions 28 to 506 of the family's 1533-position model. The record is from RNAcentral.
GAUGAACGCUCGCGGCAGGCCUAACACAUGCAAGUCGAGGGAGGAGCCUUCGGGCUUCGACCGGCGUACGGGUGCGUAACGCGUAUACAAUCUGCCUUUCACAUAGGGAUAGCCCGAAGAAAUUUGGAUUAAUACCUAAUGGUAUAUAGAUGUGGCAUCACCUUUAUAUUAAAGCUGAGGCGGUGAAAGAUGAGUAUGCGUUCUAUUAGCUAGUUGGAGAGGUAACGGCUCCCCAAGGCGACGAUAGAUAGGGGUUCUGAGAGGGAUAUCCCCCACACUGGUACUGAGAUACGGACCAGACUCCUACGGGAGGCAGCAGUGAGGAAUAUUGGACAAUGGUCGGAAGACUGAUCCAGCCAUGCCGCGUGCAGGAAGACGGCCUUAUGGGGUGUAAACUGCUUUUGCAGGGGAAGAAUAAGGACUACGCGUAGUUUGAUGACGGUACUCUGCGAAUAAGCAUCGGCUAACUCCGU